This 542-nucleotide ribosomal RNA is filed under the name uncultured bacterium. Its description in RNAcentral is "bacterial SSU rRNA". It matches the Rfam family "Bacterial small subunit ribosomal RNA", at positions 58 to 631 of the family's 1533-position model. The record is from RNAcentral.
CAAGUCGAACGAGCACGAUUUCCUUCGGGAUGAUGUGCUGAGUGGCGGACGGGUGAGUAACGCGUGGGUACCUGCCUUGUACAGGGGGAUAACAGUUGGAAACGGCUGCUAAUACCGCAUAAGAUUGCAUGAUAAAAACUCCGGUGGUAUAAGAUGGACCCGCGUUGGAUUAGCUAGUUGGUGAGGUAACGGCCCACCAAGGCGACGAUCCAUAGCCGACCUGAGAGGGUGACCGGCCACAUUGGGACUGAGACACGGCCCAAACUCCUACGGGAGGCAGCAGUGGGGAAUACUGCACAAUGGGCGAAAGCCUGAUGCAGCGACGCCGCGUGAGCGAAGAAGUAUUUCGGUAUGUAAAGCUCUAUCAGCAGGGAAGAUAAUGACGGUACCUGACUAAGGAGCACCGGCUAAAUACGUGCCAGCAGCCGCGGUAAUACGUAUGGUGCAAGCGUUAUCCGGAUUUACUGGGUGUAAAGGGAGCGCAGGCGGUGCGGCAAGUCUGAUGUGAAAGCCCGGGGCUCAACCCCGGUACUGCAUUGGAA